CUGCUCAAAACAAAUGGCGACACACAUUGCGAGGUAGGGUUGGGUUAACGGCUAACGGGCCCAUUAGGCCAUUACCAUGUUAAAGGAGUGCCAUAAAUAACGUCAACAAUUCGUGCAGUACAAAACUAGAAUGUGACAUCUCGUUGUGGAGAAAUUGACGGCGGUGAAGAAAUUAAUGAUAGGGAAGACCGUAAGACGUGAUUUUACUCGAGCAGCCCCAUCGAUUCCAACAGUUGCUUGAAAAUUUGGCCAAGACCGAAUUUGGAAAACCCCUUUUGUCAAAAGCAAUACAAUUUGAGGCAGAUGGUUCUCACGGUUCAGUUGACAAACGAGCAUUAGGCAAAAACAAAUCCUUUCUGGAUCUUGAUGAAGAAGUGGAGCCCUAGAGAUACCUUUGAGAAAUCAAAGUUGAGAAAGAAGAGAACAAACUUAUUCCACACCCUGCAAGACUGUCAUGUUGAUUUACAGGGAAUGUUCUGGCGGAUUCCCCAUCAAAUAGAAAUAGUCAUGAUGUAAAGGAAUUACCCAUUCAUGUCAACAAACAGACCGUCUUCGUCACACCUGAAUAAGAGUGAAAGCAAUAAGUCCGAAGUCGUACAAGAUUUCCAUCGUGGCCCCAAUUCGUCGGCUUGGAUUUAACCAUUUAUCAAACCUCUCUUCAAAAGAAUGUCGGUUUUUUGGUAUUCAUUUUGAUAUUGGUUGUUGUAGACCCAUUCCCCAGAUGUAUUCCCAUUCCCCAGCAACGUAAACCUGCAGAAGGAAAGGCCAGUUUUCAUGGCCUUCAUACUCGAAGGUCACGGAGAUUCAUUACGUUAAAAGUGUCAUAGUGUAGAGGUUGGGUGAGAACGGGAUGUGUUU
Long non-coding RNA from Daphnia pulex (common water flea), 858 nucleotides. RefSeq lists it as uncharacterized. NCBI's taxonomy places the organism in Eukaryota, Metazoa, Arthropoda, Branchiopoda, Diplostraca, Daphniidae. The record is from RefSeq and is a predicted model, not a curated record. The transcript has 3 exons.